AUGAACCCAUAUGUUGGUCACCCUAAUCCAAUGCAGGAAGAGCAGGAGCUCUUUCGGAAGGACCAACGUGAAGCUGCUCUUGCUCUGGAGGCUGAAGUCUUAAAGAACCCUGGUAAUGCUGAAGGUUCGAGGUUGCUUGGAGUAACACAUGCUGAAAAUGAUGAUGACCAGCAGUUGGAGCAGAAACAAAUACAGAUACCCUGGGAAGGAGGUAUGGAGCGAAUACGUGGGAAGGGCACUAUCCGAUCCGUUUCCAUCCCUAUCGGCAUAGGGCAUCAAUGUCAACGGAGGAGGGCAGUGAGCCCGCGACAGACGAUAGUGGUGGAGGUGCUUUGGUUGCCAUCGCACUGCAGCAAGGAUGGAUGGGUGGCAGCGUGUGGGCUUGGGAUGAUUGGAUGGCCCCACGGCGGCGUGCUCGCCUGGAGAAGCAUUAAGAUAUCUUUCGAGGUGGCUCCAGAUUCCAGAAUCAUUCAAAGUACGGAGGUCUCGCCCCUCCCCACCAAACUGAUUCACCAUAUGGUCCAGAUUUUAUUAGUUUCGGAUACUAAACAACCUACCUCUCACCAUGUUGUUAUAUUGUUUAAUGAAGCUGCUCAGAUGUCGCCUGAGGAUGCUGAUGUCCACAUAGUUCUGGGUGUCUUGUACAACUUAUCAAGAGAAUUAGAUAAAGCUAUAGCUUCAUUUAAGACGGCACUACAGCUGAAACCACAAGACUAUUCUCUCUGGAACAAGCUCGGUGCGACCCAAGCAAACAGCAUCCAGACUGCUGAUGUCGUACUGGCAUACCAGCAGGCUCUAGAUUUGAAGCCCAACUACGUCCGUGCAUGGGCUAAUAUGAGAAAUAGCUAUGCGAAACCAGUAUUGUAA
RNAcentral lists this ribosomal RNA (867 nucleotides) under Triticum aestivum (bread wheat). RNAcentral's name for it is "partial small subunit ribosomal RNA". The record is from RNAcentral. Lineage: Eukaryota; Viridiplantae; Streptophyta; Magnoliopsida; Poales; Poaceae.